CCUACGGGAGGCAGCAGUGAGGAAUAUUGGACAAUGGGCGCAAGCCUGAUCCAGCCAUGCCGCGUGCAGGAAGAAGCAUCUAUGGUGUGUAAACUGCUUUUGUACAGGAAGAAGCACUCCCUCGUGAGGGAGCUUGACGGUACUGUAAGAAUAAGGACCGGCUAACUCCGUGCCAGCAGCCGCGGUAAUACGGAGGGUCCGAGCGUUAUCCGGAAUCAUUGGGUUUAAAGGGUCCGUAGGCGGUUUAAUAAGUCAGUGGUGAAAUCUGGUCGCUCAACGAUCAAACGGCCAUUGAUACUGUUAGACUUGAAUUAUAAGGAAGUAACUAGAAUAUGUAGUGUAGCGGUGAAAUGCUUAGAUAUUACAUGGAAUACCAAUUGCGAAGGCAGGUUACUACUUAUGGAUUGACGCUGAUGGACGAAAGCGUGGGGAGCGAACAGGAUUAGAUACCCUGGUAGUCCACGCCGUAAACGAUGGAUACUAGCUGUUCGGAGCAAUCUGAGUGGCUAAGCGAAAGUGAUAAGUAUCCCACCUGGGGAGUACGUUCGCAAGAAUGAAACUUAAAGGAAUUGACCGGNNGAGAGNGACGAGACGACGACGAGGAGGAGG
RNAcentral lists this ribosomal RNA (609 nucleotides) under uncultured bacterium. Its description in RNAcentral is "bacterial SSU rRNA". It matches the Rfam family "Bacterial small subunit ribosomal RNA", at positions 338 to 950 of the family's 1533-position model. The record is from RNAcentral.